This 497-nucleotide ribosomal RNA is filed under the name uncultured bacterium. RNAcentral describes it as "partial 16S ribosomal RNA". It matches the Rfam family "Bacterial small subunit ribosomal RNA", at positions 28 to 507 of the family's 1533-position model. The record is from RNAcentral.
GAUGAACGCUGGCGGCGUGCCUAAUACAUGCAAGUCGAGCGAACGGACGAGAAGCUUGCUUUUCUGAUGUUAGCGGCGGACGGGUGAGUAACACGUGGAUAGCCUACCUAUAAGACUGGGAUAACUUCGGGAAACCGGAGCUAAUACCGGAUAAUAUUUUGAACCGCAUGGUUCAAAAGUGAAAGACGGUCUUGCUGUCACUUAUAGAUGGAUCCGCGCUGCAUUAGCUAGUUGGUAAGGUAACGGCUUACCAAGGCAACGAUGCAUAGCCGACCUGAGAGGGUGAUCGGCCACACUGGAACUGAGACACGGUCCAGACUCCUACGGGAGGCAGCAGUAGAGAAUCUUCCGCAAUGGGCGAAGGCCUGACGGAGCAACGCCGCGUGAGUGAUGAAGGUCUUCGGAUCGUAAAACUCUGUUAUUAGGGAAGAACAUAUGUGUAAGUAACUGUGCACAUCUUGACGGUACCUAAUCAGAAAGCCACGGCUAACUACGUG